CCAUAUCUGGAUUACAUGAACCGGGGCGAGUUACCAGCUGAGGAAACGUUGGCUCGACUGAUAAUCCGGCGGUCCAAUUCCAUGACCAUACUCAACGGGGAGUUACAUCGUUACAGUGUUUCAGGAGCAAUUCAGCGAUGCGUUUCUCCUCAAGAAGGUUGUGAGAUUUUGCGAGAAAUUCAUGAAGGGGAUUGUGGUCACCACGCCGGUUCAAAGUCGUUGGUUGCCAAAGCUUUUCGCCAUAGUUUUUACUGGUUGACGGCGCAUGUUGAUGCGGAGAAUUUAGUCAAAAGAUAUGAUGGAUGUCAAAAGUUUGCCCACCGUGCGCACGUUCCGGCUCAAGAGUUGCAGAUGAUUCCAAUUACGUGGCCGUUUGCA
Molecule: ribosomal RNA, 378 nt
Filed under: Triticum aestivum (bread wheat)
Lineage: Eukaryota; Viridiplantae; Streptophyta; Magnoliopsida; Poales; Poaceae
Description: partial small subunit ribosomal RNA
Source: RNAcentral